GAUGAACGCUGGCGGCGUGCCUAAUACAUGCAAGUCGAGCGAACAGACGAGGAGCUUGCUCCUCUGACGUUAGCGGCGGACGGGUGAGUAACACGUGGAUAACCUACCUACAAGACUGGGAUAACUUCGGGAAACCGGAGCUAAUACCGGAUAAUAUAUUGAACCGCAUGGUUCAAUAGUGAAAGACGGUUUUGCUGUCACUUAUAGAUGGAUCCGCGCCGCAUUAGCUAGUUGGUAAGGUAACGGCUUACCAAGGCGACGAUGCGUAGCCGACCUGAGAGGGUGAUCGGCCACACUGGAACUGAGACACGGUCCAGACUCCUACGGGAGGCAGCAGUAGGGAAUCUUCCGCAAAGGGCGAAAGCCUGACGGAGCAACGCCGCGUGAGUGAUGAAGGUCUUCGGAUCGUAAAACUCUGUUAUUAGGGAAGAACAAAUGUGUAAGUAACUAUGCACGUCUUGACGGUACCUAAUCAGAAAGCCACGGCUAACUACGUG
This 497-nucleotide ribosomal RNA is filed under the name uncultured bacterium. Its description in RNAcentral is "partial 16S ribosomal RNA". It matches the Rfam family "Bacterial small subunit ribosomal RNA", at positions 28 to 507 of the family's 1533-position model. The record is from RNAcentral.